This 73-nucleotide transfer RNA is filed under the name Bacillota bacterium. RNAcentral describes it as "tRNA-Arg". It matches the Rfam family "tRNA". From Rfam's summary of the family: Transfer RNA (tRNA) molecules are approximately 80 nucleotides in length. Their secondary structure includes four short double-helical elements and three loops (D, anti-codon, and T loops). Further hydrogen bonds mediate the characteristic L-shaped molecular structure. tRNAs have two regions of fundamental functional importance: the anti-codon, which is responsible for specific mRNA codon recognition, and the 3' end, to which the tRNAs corresponding amino acid is attached (by aminoacyl-tRNA synthetases). tRNAs cope with the degeneracy of the genetic code in two manners: having more than one tRNA (with a specific anti-codon) for a particular amino acid; and 'wobble' base-pairing, i.e. permitting non-standard base-pairing at the 3rd anti-codon position. The record is from RNAcentral. Lineage: Bacteria; Bacillati; Bacillota.
GCGCUCGUAGCUCAAUGGAUAGAGCAACAGACUUCGGAUCUGUCGGUUGGGGGUUCGAGUCCUCCCGGGCGCA